This 81-nucleotide small RNA is filed under the name Flavobacterium crassostreae. RNAcentral describes it as "Flavo-1 RNA". It matches the Rfam family "Flavo-1 RNA". Lineage: Bacteria; Pseudomonadati; Bacteroidota; Flavobacteriia; Flavobacteriales; Flavobacteriaceae. The record is from Rfam by way of RNAcentral.
UUUUUGCAUGAAGGAUAGGAGCGGCAUCCUUUAGGGCGCUUUUUUGGCGGCCUAAAGAUAUAGCGUAUAGCCUGACCGGAG